UCCCUGGUAGCUUAAUGGUAGAGCGGGCGGCUGUUAACCGCCAGGCUGUAGGUCCGAGUCCUACCCGGGGAGCCA
This 75-nucleotide transfer RNA is filed under the name Dehalococcoidales bacterium. Its description in RNAcentral is "tRNA-Asn". It matches the Rfam family "tRNA". From Rfam's summary of the family: Transfer RNA (tRNA) molecules are approximately 80 nucleotides in length. Their secondary structure includes four short double-helical elements and three loops (D, anti-codon, and T loops). Further hydrogen bonds mediate the characteristic L-shaped molecular structure. tRNAs have two regions of fundamental functional importance: the anti-codon, which is responsible for specific mRNA codon recognition, and the 3' end, to which the tRNAs corresponding amino acid is attached (by aminoacyl-tRNA synthetases). tRNAs cope with the degeneracy of the genetic code in two manners: having more than one tRNA (with a specific anti-codon) for a particular amino acid; and 'wobble' base-pairing, i.e. permitting non-standard base-pairing at the 3rd anti-codon position. The record is from RNAcentral. Lineage: Bacteria; Bacillati; Chloroflexota; Dehalococcoidia; Dehalococcoidales.